GUAGGCAACCUGCCCUCAAGCUUGGGACAACUACCGGAAACGGUAGCUAAUACCGAAUACAUGAUUUGUUCGCCUGAACGAAUCUGGAAAGACGGAGCAAUCUGUCACUUGAGGAUGGGCCUGCGGCGCAUUAGCUAGUUGGUGAGGUAACGGCUCACCAAGGCGACGAUGCGUAGCCGACCUGAGAGGGUGAUCGGCCACACUGGGACUGAGACACGGCCCAGACUCCUACGGGAGGCAGCAGUAGGGAAUCUUCCGCAAUGGACGCAAGUCUGACGGAGCAACGCCGCGUGAGUGAUGAAGGUUUUCGGAUCGUAAAGCUCUGUUGCCAGGGAAGAACGUCCGGAUUAGUAACUGAAUCCGGAGUGACGGUACCUGAGAAGAAAGCCCCGGCUAACUACGUG
Molecule: ribosomal RNA, 404 nt
Filed under: uncultured bacterium
Lineage: Bacteria
Description: bacterial SSU rRNA
Rfam family: Bacterial small subunit ribosomal RNA
Source: RNAcentral